RNAcentral lists this ribosomal RNA (408 nucleotides) under uncultured bacterium. Its description in RNAcentral is "partial 16S ribosomal RNA". It matches the Rfam family "Bacterial small subunit ribosomal RNA", at positions 28 to 526 of the family's 1533-position model. The record is from RNAcentral.
GACGAACGCUGGCGGCGUGCUUAACACAUGCAAGUCGAACGGAGUGGCGAACGGGUGCGUCACACGUGGGUUACCUGCCCUGCACUUCGGUAUCAGCCUGGGCAACUUGGUCUAAUACCGGAUAGUGUGGGCUGGGCCCGCGGCCUCUCUGCUUGUGGGUGGGGUAAUGGCCUACAAAGGCGGCGACGGGUAGCCGGCCUGCGAGGGUGGACGGCCACAUUGGGGCGGAGACACGGCCCAGACUCCUACGGGAGGCAGCAGAGGGGAAUAUUGCACAAUGGGAGGAAGGCUGAUGCAGCGACGCCGAGGGGGGGAUGACGGACUUCGGGUUGUAAACUCCUUUCACCAUCGACGCGGUAGAUGGAGAAGAAGCACCGGCUAACUACGUGCCAGCAGCCGCAGUAAUUC